UACCAGCUCUCCGAGUGGUAGGGAUGUUUAUUGGGCUUAAAGCGUCCGUAGCCGGCUUAGCAAGUCUCCUGUUAAAUUCAGCGACCUAAUCGUUGAGCCGCGGGAGAUACUACUAGGCUAGGAGGCGGGAGAGGUCAACGGUACUUCCGGGGUAGGGGUGAAAUCCUAUAAUCCCGGGAGGACCACCAGUGGCGAAGGCUGUUGACUAGAACGCGCUCGACGGUAAGGGACGAAAGCUGGGGGAGCGAACCGGAUUAGAUACCCGGGUAGUCCCAGCUGUAAACGAUGCGAGCUAGGUGUUGGGGUGGCUACGUGCCACUUCAGUGCCGCAGGGAAGCCAUUAAGCUCGCCGCCUGGGGAGUACGGCCGCAAGGCUAGAAACUUAAAGGAAUUGGCGGGGGAGCACCACAAGGCGUGAAGCUUGCGGUUC
This 430-nucleotide ribosomal RNA is filed under the name uncultured archaeon. Its description in RNAcentral is "bacterial SSU rRNA". It matches the Rfam family "Archaeal small subunit ribosomal RNA", at positions 474 to 903 of the family's 1478-position model. The record is from RNAcentral.